Rattus norvegicus (Norway rat) is the source of this 69-nucleotide non-coding RNA. The record is from Rfam. Lineage: Eukaryota; Metazoa; Chordata; Mammalia; Rodentia; Muridae.
GGGGAUUUAGCUCAGUGGUAGAGCGCUUGCCUAGCAAACGCAAGGCCCUGGGUUCGGUCCCCAGCUCCA